Molecule: RNA transcript, 9292 nt
Organism: Brienomyrus brachyistius
Lineage: Eukaryota; Metazoa; Chordata; Actinopteri; Osteoglossiformes; Mormyridae
Exons: 3
Source: RefSeq, a predicted model, not a curated record
GACAAAAACUAUGCACCAGAAGCUGAACGGAAUCACCUUCCAUGACUGAACAGCUGCAUGCAAGCCUCACACAUCCAAGCACAGAAGCAAGCGUUGGAUGCCAGGCGAACUUGAGCUGCUUGACUGUCCUGUGCCAGCUGUAAAGUUUGGUAGAGGAGGAAUGAUGGUAUGGGGUUAUUUUUCAGAGGUUGAGCUAGACCCCUCAGCUCCUUCAAACACAUUUGGGAUAAACUAUAACGGAGAUUGUGAGCCCGGCCUUCAAAUCCAACAUCAGUGCCUGACCUCACAAAUGCUCUUCUGAAUGAAGGUGUAAAAAGUUCCACAGACAUACUCCAAAAUCUUGUGAAAAGCCUUCACAGAAAAGUGGCAGCUGCCAUAAUUGCAAUGGGGGGGGGGGACCAACUCCAUAUUGAUGCCUGUGAAUGAAUGGUGAUAAAAUUUUGUUUAGGUGUAGUGGCCAGGUGUCUCAAUACUAUUGCCCAUUAUAGUGUUUGUCUCUUGAUUAUUUUCUGCCAGUUUAGUGAUUCUGUCCACUGAACAUAUUAGAACAAACAGUACAUGAAUAGCCUUCGCGUUAGUGCCAAAAACAUUAUUACUCAAAGAUAUAAUGCAUUAGUGUUCAAAAUAUAACCUCUUAAUCUUAACUCUAUUCCGGUGUCAUUACUGGUGGCCUCUGUGACAGAGCUAUGAAAAUCCCUGUCUUGCUUAGUCAUCCAUGCAGAACUGAAGGCUAACGUCUUUUCUUUCUCCCAUUCUAGGACAAUUAUGCAAACUGCUCAUUAAGAAUCAGUGUCUGUUUGAUUACAAGAACAUCUUUCAGAUUCCAGAAAGUCUGUUUUUUCACUCUGGUCUGCUGAAAUGACCCCCUUUCCUCCAUUAGGGAACAGAAACAUUGAUAUUCCUAUAACAGGAUUCCAACUCCCCAGGUAACUUUGACAUGGUAGAUCAACAGAUUCCCCUCAAGGAGCUUGAGAUAACAGGGUCUGCCCUGUGCAGCAUUUCUUACCACCUACUGAAAUUUCUUUCAGAAUAUAUUCUCUAUGUUCAGUCUAUAUAUUCAGUAUGGUUCUUAUAUCAGUAAUAUAACCUGGCAUGACAGAUGAAUGGAAUCAAAGACAUUUAUAAUUAUAGACUGGAAAAAAAGAGCAAUUUCACUUUGAUUAUAUUGCUAUUUUGGUCCAAGAAAUCACUUUCAGCAUACAAUGAUGAAAAGUUUACAGAAGAAAGCUAUUUGAGAACGUGACUAUUUUAUAGUCAUUUGCUAUGGCAUCACUGUUUAAGAGUGUGUCAGUAGUGCACUUCGUAUCACUUGCAAGCUUUCUGAUUUAGUGAUGUAUUUUCCAAGCACCAUGACCAUCUUCUGCACACAGCUCUUGUGCUGACCAUAAAAUUCCAGAUGCUUCAUUAGAGGUGGAUCUCUAUCAUCAUUACACUUUCUUGUAAGUCUGUUGUGUAGAGCAUCUGUUGUAAUACAUUCCUGCUUUUUAUUUAUGUAAAUCUAUUGUCGUUAAAGCCAACGCCAUCAGAAUUAUCAAGGAACCUGGGCAACAUGAACACAUAUUACACGGGACAAAGUGCCGCAUACCCACGCCAUUAACAGAAAGAGGACAAGAAGGAGCCUGAUUAAAAUUCAUUAUUGAUUUUACUUUCCAUACUUAGGGAAAAGGGUAGUUGUAUAUUUGACAAAUUUCUAAUUAACAUGUAAAGUACCUAUUCUCUCUUAGAUAACACCAAAUAUCAUUUUGUAAUCUUUAUCUCAUUGUUGGGUUAUAACUGAACAAUUGAAGGUCUAAGGUUGCCACCACCGUCAAACUACAUUUCCCAUAAUGCACCAACAAAAUGGCUGCUGAUCACAAAUGAAAACACCUGAACAGGAAUGGUAGCUCAGUCUUCAAACAAGCCAAGGAACAGCACAGCAAGCUCUACUCAAGAGUUUACUCCAAAGACACCAAUGGUUAUCAACCUGACGGUUCAAGCAUUGGUUGAUUAACUUGAAACCAACAAGUCUAAGUUGGUAAAUAAAACUCAACGAAAGGUGAAUCAAGAGUUGUCCCGGUGUGUCCUUUUGGAGUGGAACUAGAGUGGAACUUAACAGUUGAUAACCAACGGAGCAGCCUGGAGUGGAAGAUAAAGGGCUUCAUACCAGAUAAGCUGUGGACGGAAAAAGGAAAUAAAGAUGGCUGAAGAGGUCUUGGGGAAGACUGUCAAACUACUGAAGCAGGAGAGGACCAUUGCAAAGAGCAGCUUCACCAAACUGGCCAACUUCAUUUCAAGGGGAGCAAACACCAUGCUGAGAGCUGAAUUAAAGGAGGAAUUUGGAAAACUUUCAGACCGGUUCAGGUCAGUGCUUGAUUCUAAUGAGGACUACAGGAUCGGACUGGAUGCUGACGUCAAGGCGGCGGAUAAUGAAGCAGAACUUGAUAAGCAGCAAGAAACUGACAUAAAGACAACCAUAAAAGAUGCAGAAAUUAAAAUGGAGGAAGUAAGGGACAUUGUACAAACUAACAUGUGGGGAAGAUAUGGAAAGAACGAACUUAGAACAUCGAUUCUUGAAGCAGAAGAAGCAAUUGAUGAAGCUGACAGAGUUCAAGUCAGAAGUGACAAUCUAGAAGGCUAUGAAGGUCACCUCACCUUAUUGGAAGAAAAGAUAAACGCAGCCAUCUCAGCAAUGUCUGAGUGGGAGAGAUGGAUCCCCGAAUCAUCAAAAGAUGAACUGGCUGGGAGACUUAAAGAACUGAGAGCAACCCACAACAGGCUACAAUUGAGAAAAGCAGAGUUUGCCAUAUCAAGGAGGCUGGCUGAUCAAGGCACAAGUGGGAAACCUGUCCAACCACCACCACCUGUUGUGAAGAUAAAACCAACUACUCUGCCUGUCUUCCAGGGAAGUAAGAGAGAGUUCCACAGGUGGAGAAAGGACUGGGAGAGCCUGCAAAGGCAGGGGGAGCCCACUGGCUCACCUGAAGUUCUGAAGAUUCAGCUUCUGGAGAGUGUGAGCGAGACCAUUGCAAAAGAAUUAAGACUUUCAACCUAUACAACAGCAGCUGACAUGUUCAGGGUCCUGGACAAUAGAUACGGCAACAAGUCCACCAUUACAGUUGAAAUCCUCGAAGAACUAGAGAAUAUGCCUCCAGUGAAGGGGAACCAGCCGAGGAAAGUCAUUGACCUGAUUCAAUCUGUGGAGAAGGCACUGGCAGAUCUGACAGAGCUGGGGAACGUGGGAGCCAUGAAAAAUCCAUUAGUCAUCAAGUCCAUUGAAAGCAAGUUACCCGACUUCAUAAAAAGAGACUGGCUAAUGUUCCUGGUCAACCCUGAAAAUAAUGUCACUGCAGAUACUCACUUUGACAUGCUCUUGAAAUUCCUGAAGAAUCAAGAAGAGAUACUGGAGAGACUUGAACAACUUAAAAUUGUGGACAAGAUAGACAAGCCAGAGAAAAGGCAUGAGAGAAAGACUGCAUCAACCAGAGCUACAAAGAAAGAAGUUGAUGAGGGCUGUGGUGUCUGUGGUGAUCGUGGACACAGCAAAAAGGUCUUCUUCUGCAAGAAAUUUAAAGCUUUGAAACUGUCCGAAAAGAAGUCUGUUCUAAAGAAACUGGGAGCAUGCAGCAAAUGCUUAGGGUACCAUGAUGAUGACGGAUACUGCAGGGAAAAUUUUUUAUGCAGGAAUACAGACUGCAAAACGGGAGGAACUGGUCCAGACCACCAUUAUUUCCUGUGCCCAAAAACUGAAUCCAGAAGAGGAGAAGGGGGUAAAGGUGGAAGAGAUGAAAGAAGUAAAGGGAAGUUCACAGAGGAACAGGAGAAGUUCUUGUCACAACUUUCCCCAGAACUAGCAGAGCAAUGUCGAAAGGCAUUCACUAACAGGUCCUCAGUGACACUCAAAACAGCAGGCCAGUCUGAGCUACUGAAGAAGAAUGGGCUGAUUGAACUUCCAGUGAUCAUGAUGCUGAUGCAGGUGACGGCGAACGCAGGUCAAAAGAUUGGUACCCUCAUUGACCUAGCAUCUGACACCAAUUACAUAACCCACAAAGCUGCUGAAAGAUUGGGCCUGAGGAGUGAAGAGAUAACCCUGGUCAUACAUGGGGUUGGUGGAAUGACUAUGCGAGUCAAUACAAGAAGGUACCUCCUAAAGGUCAGAGUCAAGACUCCAAAAGGGACUGAAAGAGCACAUCAACUAGUCUGCUAUGGCCUGGAUGAAAUUGCUAAGGUAUAUCAAACAAUUCAGCCUGAGAAGUUAAAAAGAUUCUUCCCAGAUGUCCAGCUCGAAGACCUGAAGAGACCAGCCGAAGUCGAGCUUCUCAUAAGCCACCGUGAGGGAAGACUUGCACCUCAAAGAGUCAAAGUCAUCGGAGACCUUGUUUUGUGGGAAAGCCCAUUGGGGAAAACAGUGGGCGGAGCCCAUCCUGACUUAUUUGAAGAAGUGGAGGUGGCAGCAUAUGAGUCAAGAACCCAUUUCGCUCGCUCCAUGCGAACCGCUGCUGUCAGAUAUCAGGAGAUCACAGUUCCAACAACCAAACCAGGCUGGCAACUGCAGGAAGAUGCGCUGUCCAAAUUUACAUCUGCCAGUAACCGUGGGUUCCUUGAGUGGUGGCACUGGGACAGCAUCGGAGCCGCAUGCGAACCAAGGUGUGGAGGAUGUCGAUGUGGAAACUGCUCACCAGGAGGAAGAGACAUGACCUUAGCAGAGGAGAGGGAGCUUGAGAUCAUUAAAGGAGGCCUCACCUACAAGGAAAAGGAUGCUCACACACCUACACCACACUGGGAUGCAAAGUAUCCUUGGACUGAAUGUCCUACAUCUCUCCCUGAAAACAAAAGGGCAGUCCAGGCUUGCUUCUUAAGGAUGGAAAAGCAACUAAGCAAGGAACCAGAAUGGAAAGUCGCUUAUGCAACCCAAAUCCAUGAAAUGGUCGAAAGAGGUGUAGCCAUGAAACUCACCAGUGAAGUCAUGGAGAAGUGGACGGGACCAGUGUGGUAUGUCAGCCACUUGGUGGCGCCUAACCCUCAUUCAGUGACAACACCAGUUCGCAUUGUCUGGAACAGUAGCCAGAAAUACAAAGGGGUAAGCAUGAAUGAUCUUCUUCUAAAGGGACCAGAUGUCCUUAACCCCAUCAGAGCCAUCCUACUAAGAUUUAGAGAAGGCGUGCAUGCAGCUCUAGGAGACGUAAAGAAGAUGUAUAACUCUGUCUGGUUGGAGGAGCGUGAGAUGCAUCUACACAGAUUCCUGUGGAGAGACAGCCCAGAAAAGGAGAUCUGUGAAUACGCAAUCACCAGAGUUAACAUCGGUGACAAACCCGCUGGUUGCAUUGCACAGUUGGCUAUGAGGGAGACUGCGAACCUGCCCAAAUUCACUCACUUGGUGGAUGAACGAAGAGUUAUCGAAGAAGACAGUUAUGUGGAUGACCUCUUAACCUCCCACAAUGACCUGCACAGACUUGACAACAUCACAGCAAAUGUUGAAGAGAUUCUAAAAGCUGGAGGCUUCUUCCUUAAACCAUGGGUCCGGUCAGGGCAAAGUGGGAGGAAAGGAGCUGAAGCUGAUGUCCUAAGCCAGGAGCAAAGGAAAACCUUAAUUCUUCCAAACCAAAUGAGGGAAGGGGACAACAAAGCCUUGGGCAUUGGCUACCAAGUGGAUGAGGACAAGCUCUACAUGCUGACCGCUGUGAACUUUUCUAAAAGGAAGAAGAAAAUGCGAGUUGGCAAAGAUCUUCUCGAAGAGGAGGUGAGAACUGAAACACCUAACCCACUGACUAGAAGAGCUCUCUUAAGCCAAGUUGCUGCACUGUAUGACCCAAUUGGCCUAGUUGCACCGGUCAAGCAGAAAGGAGCGAUUCUUGUUCGUAAAGCAUUUCAAGAAGGAGGGGGUGGCAAACUGACCCAAGAAACCUGGGAUCAACCUCUCUCAGAAGGCCUCAGAGAAGAAGCUAUACAGCUUUUCGAAGAAUAUGUGCAGCUUGGUCGAGUGAAAUUCCACAGGAGCCUCACACCAUCUGACUGGAAAGGUAAACCUUGGGGCAUCACAUUCUCUGAUGGAAGUGACAAAACAUACGGAGCUGUCAUGUACUUAAGAUGGGAAACAACUCAAGGCAUUGAAGUCCGGUUAGUGGAAGCCAAAGCCAAACUCACACCCCUGGAUCAAAAGGGAGAUGCUGUGAAGGCAGAAAUAUGUGGCGCAGUCUUUGCAGCUAGGAUCAGGAAGUACGUGGAGAAGCAUGCACGAUUGAAGAUUGAGAGAUGGUUCCAUCUACUGGACAGUCAAACAAUCCUAGGAGCCAUUCAGCGAGACAAUUAUGGAUACCAAACCUUCUUCGCAAACAGAGUAGGUGAAAUCCAGAAGGCUGGGCCAGUGCAAGACUGGUGGUGGAUUCGUGGAGAUCUAAAUAUAGCUGACAUUAUAACAAGAGGAGGCACUCCUGACGAUUUGAAGGAGAGUUCCACAUGGCAAAAUGGACCAGAGUUCCUGAUGUGGCCAGUGGAGGAGUGGCCUAUUCAUUCAGCUGGAGAAGUUGCAGCCCAGGCCAGGGAGAGUGUAAACAAGCUUCAAACCAAGGCAUUUUCAGCUGUACUGACCAGAGCUCAAGCCAAAAUGAGUCAACAGAAUGAAGAUCCACUAACCACUCAGGAAAGUCCUUGUCAAGAGGGAAAAUCCACUCUGCCAAGAAUGAGGCCCACUGGCUGGGUUAGACAUCUCGUGAACAUAACACGGUUCAGUAGUCUGACCAAACUGAAGAGAGUAAUUGCCUGGAUCCGUCGAGCUGCCGAGCAGUGGCUGAAGAGGAUUUCAAACCCAAAACGGCCAAAGUGGGACGCAACAACACCCAAGCUGGCUGGGUUGACCAGCAAAGAGCUUGAGGAUGCAUGUGACGACCUCUUACUAGCAGCUCAAGUCGGUGUAACUUUUCCAGAAACAACUCUCAGCAGAUUAGCAGUAUACAAAGAUGUGAACACUGGGCUCCUACUUUGUGGAGGUAGAAUCCAGAUGUUCAAUGAGGAGAAGACUGCCGUGCCAGUUCUGCCAUUUGAAGCAUGGGUGUCUACUCUGCUGGCACGAAAAUCCCAUGAAGUUAACCAUGAGGGUGUAGCAGCAACCCUUCUCCGGAUGAGGAAGACAGCCUGGGUAAUAAAAGGCCGGAGAAUUGCCAAGAAGAUGGUUGACAGUUGUGUGAGCUGCAGGAAGAACAGGGCGAAGCAGUGUCAACAAAUAAUGGCGCACUUGCCUCCAGAGCGAACAGGCCCAGCUGCUCCUUUCGAAUUCACCACCUUGGAUCUGUUCGGUCCAUAUGAAGUGAAAGAUGAAGUUAAGAAAAGAACCAGACUCAAGGUAUGGGGAAUUGUCUUCUGUUGCAUGGCCUCCCGUGCCAUACACACUGACGUGGUAAGUGACCAGUCAUCUGAAGGUUUCCUGCUGGCCUACCAAAGAUUCACGUCACUGAGAGGGCACCCCAGGAAACUUUGGUCAGACCCCGGUACUAACUUUGUUGGAGCCAAACCUGCUCUGGAGAAGCUAUACAAAUUCUUUGACCAACUGGACAGGUCUCAAGUUGAAGACCUAUCUGCCAAGCAUGGAACGGAAUGGUCUUGGAAGAUCCACCCCUCAGAUUCUCCGCAUAGAAAUGGUGCAGCAGAGGCGGCUGUCAGAAUAGUGAAGCGGGCUCUAAGCAACCUUGGUGGAGAUGGUGUUUUCACCUGGGGUGAAUUCCAAACCUUUCUCUUCAUGGCAGCCAACCUUGCUAACGAAAGACCUAUUGACGCCAGGACUCAAAGUAGGGAAGACUGUGUAGAGUACAUUACCCCAAAUUCUCUGCUUUUAGGGCGUGCAAACCCAAAGGGAGACCCUGGAGACUUCCAGUUCGAUGGCUAUCCAUAUAAAAGGCUUAAAAGUAUCCAAACAGAAGUCAGCAAGUUCUGGAAGAAGUGGAGCCAAUUGGCUGGACCAAACCUGUUUGUACGGAACAAAUGGCACACUAAAGAGCGAAAUGUUGCUGUUGGAGAUGUGGUCUGGUUGGCUGACCAAAAUGCUCUGAGAGGACAGUACAGACUGGCCAGAGUUGUCAGCGUCAACACUGACAACAAAGGCAUUGUAAGAGAUGUGCUUGUGAGGACCUUUCCCAGCUAUCCUGUUCCCAUCAGAAAGGCAGCUGGAAAGGAGCCGGCCGCAGGAUCCAACAGGGUUAAACAAAAAAUCCCGGCCACAACCCUUCAUAGAGAUGUAAGGCGCCUUGUCAAUCUGAUUCCCAUUGAAGAACAAGAGUGACGGACUGGUGUGACCUCAUUGGGUUUGAGAAACCAUGAGCUCAAGUGGGAGGUGUUGGGUUAUAACUGAACAAUUGAAGGUCUAAGGUUGCCACCACCGUCAAACUACAUUUCCCAUAAUGCACCAACAAAAUGGCUGCUGAUCACAAAUGAAAACACCUGAACAGGAAUGGUAGCUCAGUCUUCAAACAAGCCAAGGAACAGCACAGCAAGCUCUACUCAAGAGUUUACUCCAAAGACACCAAUGGUUAUCAACCUGACGGUUCAAGCAUUGGUUGAUUAACUUGAAACCAACAAGUCUAAGUUGGUAAAUAAAACUCAACGAAAGGUGAAUCAAGAGUUGUCCCGGUGUGUCCUUUUGGAGUGGAACUAGAGUGGAACUUAACACUCAUCGUGUGGUUCUCUUUAGUAUCUAUGACACCGUCCUCCCAUUUAUUCAAGAAGGGAUUUUUAUAAUUUUUUGUUGAGUCACUAGUAAUUAUUAUUGGUGCUUAUUAUUUUUUACAAUUUUUUUUUACAUUAUAGCAAUGUAAACGUCAUGCAAACUCAUAUUAAAAAGCCAUUGCUUCUCAUUUCUGUUGUCUGCUAGAUAGUAUAGUAUAGUACCUGUAUAGUAACUGAAGAGGAGUAUAUUACUCUCCCAUGACCCUGUACUGGAUAGGAAUUAGGAAAAUGGAUGGAUACAAACACAGAUGCUCCUCUACUUAUGAACUUUCAGCUUACGAACUUUCAGACAUACGAACGUAUGUCCAAAUUGUUUUCAUUGGGCUCCCGUUUCCUGUCUGCAACAUCAAGUUUUUUUUCUGCGACCCAAUUCCGCCCAGUAUGACUUUCGGCCGCUACUCCCGCCGCGCAGCAACGUAGCGUGCGUACUCCCAGCAUCCUAGUUCUUUGUACUUCCGUAAACUGUUAAAAUGUUGUUAAAUAACGACUUACAAACAUUUCAAAUUACGAACGUAUCUCAUCCGUAAGUAGAGGACCGUCUGUAUAUUGUAGGAAUAUUGUAUACUGUAGCAUAUUGCGCUCAUGGGAGGUUUACUAACAC